This is a non-coding RNA of Pelobates cultripes (western spadefoot toad), 232 nucleotides long. The record is from the annotation of a GenBank genome assembly. Lineage: Eukaryota; Metazoa; Chordata; Amphibia; Anura; Pelobatidae.
ACCAGGGUGCGAAUGCGCAUGUAAUCAUUUAGGAUGAUAUAUUCAUAUUGCCAUGGCAUACAUUUAUAUAAUCUUAAUAUUCUUUGUCAAUGACCUUAGUGAAACUUGGUCGAUGUAAAAGAAUAUACUCACUGCAUGUAAUAGCUCAAACAAUGUUUGUUUGGUCCGAUUUAACAAAAAUCAAAAUAAACAAAGAAAGUAUUAUAUGCCCAAAAAAGGAAUUGAACCCUAG